UCCGGUGUAGCUCAACGAAUUUCUCACUUGGAUAUGAGUUUCCGGGUUCGAAUCCCGGCACCGGAA
Molecule: transfer RNA, 66 nt
Filed under: Rosa chinensis
Lineage: Eukaryota; Viridiplantae; Streptophyta; Magnoliopsida; Rosales; Rosaceae
Description: tRNA RchiOBHm_Chr4g0399561
Rfam family: tRNA
About the family: Transfer RNA (tRNA) molecules are approximately 80 nucleotides in length. Their secondary structure includes four short double-helical elements and three loops (D, anti-codon, and T loops).
Source: RNAcentral